UUUGAUUUGUAUGCUUGCAAAACUCAAUAAAGAAUUUUGACUUCUGUCUUCCUUUCUUCGUAACAUUAUUUCUAACACAAACAUAAAACCAAACAAAACGAAGAAUGAGCACCGCCCGCAAUGAAUAUUCAUGAGGGGCGUGGUUAAUGAAGGGGCGUGUCGUAUGAUUAAGUAGGGGGUGUUGCAUUAUUCAUGAGAGGGUGUCACCAACUGAUGUCACAUCAACCAAUCAAAAUGUUUGGAUUUGAGCCCACCUCCAAGAUUUUUGCUCUCACAUGAUUGGUCACGUUUGAAGCACCACGCCCAUGUCCCGCCCAUGCCUCAUUCUGAUUGGAUAAAACCCUAUUUUCUCUAUUCUGAUUGGUUGAAGGACAUGUCAAUCAAAACACCACACACCUCCAAAAUGACGCAGUUCUUAAGGGUUGUCUUUUCAUGAUGGAUGAGACAUGCUGAUGGCAUGUCCACUCACUAACCCCACUCCUCACUCUUCUACAUGUGAUCAACAUCCCAGCUCAGAGGAGGAGCUGAAGACACUCAGGAUUCCUGUGAUGGUCAGAGAUCACUGUGAAUUAUCAGCCUCUAUUUGAAAAGAUCAGGAACAUUAGUGACAGAGGAAGAAGUAAAGGAAAGUAUGAAGAGAUCUAGACUGUGACACUGCUGCAGCUGUAGUGAAGGAGUGUCAGUGUGAUGUCAGGGUACAGAGAUCUAAAGUGUGAGGAAGUAUUCUGGCACAGCCUGACCUAUUUUAAUGAGUUUACAUCCUCUUUCCAGCUUUCAACAAAGUCACUGAAUUCAGUCCAGCCUGGUUCCAGUCUGUCAACAUGUGAUGAAUAAACACCUUCAGCUCCCUCCCUGCUGCCUCCUGCUGCUCCUCUCUCUCAGUGAGGAAUGAGACUGUGAAGAGUCAGAAUCUGGCUCUGGGAUUGACAGGCUCCUGUCCUCCUGUCAGGAUGUUCACCUUCCCUCCUGCACUGCUGUCACCCUGAGCUCCCAGACACAGGCGCUCUUACCUCCCUCCCUGUCCAGCCAGAGUCUGCUCCUCUUCUCCGGGAGCAGGCACACAGUCUGCCUCUUCCUUUCCUUGCUCAUCUCAGCACUGACAUUCCUGACUCCUGCAGAAGGGAGCACAGGGGAAAGACAGUGAUGUUUACAGCUGUAAGAGGUCAUGUUCAACAAAUGAGUGGCACCAUCUGCUCUAGACAUACUGCAGCCCCAAUACAGUGACAGUAUCUUUCUUGACAAAUUGGUGUGGAUCUACACACUGGGUGCAGGGGUCUCCAGCCCCAGACCUGUUGCUCUUGUAAGUCACCUUUAAAAGCGGCAGUUCCUUACAGAUGAGGAACACUUCUUUAAGCAGUUGAUCAGCACAGCAAAGAGACAUCCUUGAGUCCUCAAGAAUUAAUAUUUGGAUUUGUUCCCGAUCGUCUCUAAAGUACCUGAUUUAACUAAACAUAUAUACAUAUAUAUAAAUAUGUGAUCAGUUAAAUUGUCCCAGGCUUUUGGAAGGUGGUAAUUGAGGGUUACCUUUGAAACAUGCUGAAAACAUGUUGGACUGGGGCUUCUCGGGACCAGAGGGUAAGACCUCCUGACUUCCAUAUACAAACUUACUCUACCCAAAUCCAUAAAUCAUUCUUCUUCCCCCCUGAGAUGUACUCUGUUGGGUAGUCUGGGUUAUUACACGACAUGCUCAUGAUGCUUCAUCUUUCACUUGGAGCUCACUGGAGUUGACAGGCUCCCCAACACCCUCCUCUACUGAGCAAGUCAGGUUUAUCCUGACCUCAUGUGGACAUGUAAGAAAGGAGUAUUUUUCUCCUGAAAAUCUGGCUUUUCACUGCUGUUUUACAGCUUUAAAUAGUAGAUGUACCGGGUGAUUUAUGAGAUCAGUUAUCAGAACUCUUAUGCUUUUACAUCCAACUAUUAUUAAAGUUUAUUGACAGGAUCCAAGCUCUUGAGAAGCACCACCUCGUUUUCAUGGGGGGGGGCUUUUAGAAAACAUACCCAAACUACAGCUAUCACAACACAAAGAACAAAAGAAGAGAAAAGUAAAUAAAA
Molecule: long non-coding RNA, 2052 nt
Organism: Lepisosteus oculatus (spotted gar)
Lineage: Eukaryota; Metazoa; Chordata; Actinopteri; Semionotiformes; Lepisosteidae
Source: Ensembl